Syngnathus acus (greater pipefish) is the source of this 682-nucleotide long non-coding RNA. RefSeq lists it as uncharacterized. The transcript has 2 exons. NCBI's taxonomy places the organism in Eukaryota, Metazoa, Chordata, Actinopteri, Syngnathiformes, Syngnathidae. The record is from RefSeq and is a predicted model, not a curated record.
UGCGCUGCGCCCCUAUGGAAUGUGGUUAAUGCUGCGGAGGAACAAUGAUCGCGACCAACUCAGCGAGGGGCUGCCGGCCCUCCGACACAACAGCGUGGAGCAGGGGGGGUGUAGGUCAACAUGAGGCCCGGGGGACAUAUGGCGGCCCAAGAAAGCUUUUAAUCCGGCCGCCUGUGACAACUCAGCUUUUAUUUCUAGACGACAUCAACAACCGCAGUUGUGACAAAGUGCCGUGCAUAAAUCAUAAUAAAAAAACAAUCGAGCAACAUUUAAAUUGCACUUUAGCAUACAGGGGAAGCGGAGUUUUAUUCAUCAUAGAUAUCCCUGGCUGGCAUGCUGAUUUGUUUGACAUUUUUAUUUCCUCAACCAAAGCAAAGAGUGUAAAAAUAUCACAUAAGAUUCCAUUAGGUUUCCAAAUAAAUACAACAAAUCAUUAAAUGUAAACAAACACCUUUUUUUUUUUACAGCCAAGAUCCUUUAGGCACAUUUAGAAGGAACAGUUUAAUUCUUCUUCUCGGCCAGCCAGCUUCGUGUGGGGUGAAGCUGGGUUGUAACAUAACACGCAAAUGGCUAAAGUUGGAUAGCUGUGAUAUUCUGCACUCAAUAAAAUACCAAGGCCAAAACAUUGCAAAAGUGCAAUUGGAUUAGCUUGAUGCAAAUAGGGAGGAAAGUGUAAAAAAAA